Molecule: ribosomal RNA, 1004 nt
Filed under: uncultured bacterium
Lineage: Bacteria
Description: bacterial SSU rRNA
Rfam family: Bacterial small subunit ribosomal RNA
Source: RNAcentral
CCUACGGGAGGCAGCAGUGGGGAAUAUUGGACAAUGGGCGAAAGCCUGAUCCAGCAAUGCCGCGUGGGUGAUGAAGGCCUUCGGGUCGUAAAGCCCUUUUCUGUGUGACGAGAACGGACGGUAGCACGGGAAAAAGUCUCGGCUAACUACGUGCCAGCAGCCGCGGUAAAACGUAGGAGGCAAGCGUUAUCCGGAGUUACUGGGCGUAAAGCGUGCGUAGGCGGAUGGGUAGGUGGGUCGUGAAAGCGCCGGGCUAAACCGGGCGAGGACGAUACAGACUGCUCGUCUAGAGGCGGAUAGAGGGGUGCGGAAUUCCGGGUGUAGCGGUGAAAUGUGUAGAGAUCCGGAGGAACACCAGUGGUGCAAACGGCGCCCUGGGUCCGAACUGACGCUGAGGCACGAAAGCGUGGGGAGCGAACGGGAUUAGAGACCCCGGUAGUCCACGCCGUAAACGAUGUCAACUAGGUGUCCACUGGGCUACGGUUCAGGGGGUGCCGAAGCUAACGCAAUAAGUUGACCGCCUGGGGAGUACGGUCGCAAGGCUAAAACUCAAAGGAAUUGACGGGGGCCCGCACAAGCAGCGGAGCGUGUGGUUUAAUUCGAGGCUGCACGAAGAACCUUACCUGGGUUUGACAUAGGCGUGGUAGGGAACCGAAAGGGGACCGACCUUCGGGAGCGUCUACAGGUGCUGCAUGGCUGUCCUCAGCUCGUGUCGUGAGAUGUUCGGUUAAGUCCGAAAACGAGCGCAACCCUCGGGUCUAGUUACACGUGUCUAGACCGACUGCCCGGGAGAACCGGGAGGAAGGUGGGGAUGACGUCAAGUCAGCAUGGUCUUUAUAUCCAGGGCUACACACACGCUACAAUGGGCGGUACACAGGUCGCGAAGCCGCGAGGUGGAGCCAAUCCCAAAAAGCCGUUCGUAGUUCGGAUUGCAGCUGCACUCGCCUGCAUGAAGCCUGAGUGCUAGUACCGCAGUCAGCCAUACGCGUGAAUACGUCCCGGAG